AGAGUUUGAUCCUGGCUCAGGACGAACGCUGGCGGCGUGCUUAACACAUGCAAGUCGAGCGGUAAGGCCCCUUCGGGGGUACACGAGCGGCGAACGGGUGAGUAACACGUGGGUAACCUGCCCUCAGCUCUGGGAUAAGCCCGGGAAACUGGGUCUAAUACCGGAUAUGACUCCGCAUCGCAUGGUGUGGGGUGGAAAGCCUUGUGCGGUUGAGGAUGGACCCGCGGCCUAUCAGCUUGUUGGUGGGGUAGUGGCCUACCAAGGCGACGACGGGUAGCCGGCCUGAGAGGGCGACCGGCCACACUGGGACUGAGACACGGCCCAGACUCCUACGGGAGGCAGCAGUGGGGAAUAUUGCGCAAUGGGCGAAAGCCUGACGCAGCGACGUCGCGUGAGGGAUGACGGCCUUCGGGUUGUAAACCUCUUUCAGCUCCGACGAAGCGAGAGUGACGGUAGGAGCAGAAGAAGCACCGGCCAACUACGUGCCAGCAGCCGCGGUAAUACGUAGGGUGCAAGCGUUGUCUGGAAUUAUUGGGCGUAAAGAGCUCGUAGGCGGUCUGUCGCGUCUGGUGUGAAAUCCCAUGGCUCAACUGUGGGCUUGCAUCGGGUACGGGCAGACUAGAGUGCUGUAGGGGAGACUGGAAUUCCUGGUGUAGCGGUGGAAUGCGCGAUAUCAGGAGGAACACCGAUGGCGAAGGCAGGUCUCUGGGCAGUUACUGACGCUGAGGAGCGAAAGCAUGGGGAGCGAACAGGAUUAGAUACCCUAGUAGUCC
This 773-nucleotide ribosomal RNA is filed under the name uncultured bacterium. RNAcentral describes it as "bacterial SSU rRNA". It matches the Rfam family "Bacterial small subunit ribosomal RNA", at positions 8 to 796 of the family's 1533-position model. The record is from RNAcentral.